Molecule: ribosomal RNA, 253 nt
Filed under: uncultured bacterium
Lineage: Bacteria
Description: partial 16S ribosomal RNA
Rfam family: Bacterial small subunit ribosomal RNA
Source: RNAcentral
UACGAAGGGGGCUAGCGUUGUUCGGAAUUACUGGGCGUAAAGCGCACGUAGGCGGGUUGUUAAGUCAGGGGUGAAAUCCUGGAGCUCAACUCCAGAACUGCCUUUGAUACUGGCAACCUAGAGACUGGAAGAGGCGAGUGGAAUUCCUGGUGUAGCGGUGAAAUGCGCAGAUAUCAGGAGGAACACCUAUUGCGAAGGCGCUCAUCUGGCCCAAUACUGACGCUGAGGCGCGAAAGCUAGGGGAGCAAACGGG